This 2320-nucleotide long non-coding RNA is filed under the name Ficedula albicollis (Collared flycatcher). RNAcentral's name for it is "lncRNA (ENSFALG00000026009.1)". Lineage: Eukaryota; Metazoa; Chordata; Aves; Passeriformes; Muscicapidae. The record is from RNAcentral.
CCCCCCCCCCCCCCCCCCCCCCCCCCCCCCCCCCCCCCCCCCCCCCCCCCCCCCCCCCCCCCCCCCCCCCCGCGCUCGGCUCUGCCGGCCCGGCUCCGCCGCGCUGCCCUGCGAUGAGAGCGAAGCGCUGGACAGCGUCCAGGACGUGUACAGGGAGGGCAUCUUCGAGUCGGACAGGCUCGAUUUCCUGUUGGGAGAGAAGGGCGGGAGCUGCCGGGGGCGAUCCCACCUGGCGAGGGACCCCUGGCCAGUACUGGUCAGCACUGGGGGUCCCUGGUCAGUACUGGGGGGAUCCCUGGUCAGAACUGGAGGGUCCCUGGUCAGUACUGGGGGGUCCCUGGUCUGUACUGGAGGGUCCCUGGUCAGUACUGAGGGUUCCCUGGUCUGUACUGGGGGGUCCCUGGUCAGCACUGGGGGGGGUCCCUGGUCAGUACUGGGGGGAUCCCUGGUCAGAACUGGAGGGUCCCUGGUCAGUACUGGGGGGUCCCUGGUCAGUGCUGGGAGAUGCCUCGCCUUGGGUUCUCUGGGGAAAAAAGACCCCAAGUUCUCCGUGUUACCCCCUUCCCUCUGCAGGAUUUUGUCGCACGCAGGGAAUUCCAGACCUGAAGAGGGGAGCGACGUAGCUGCUGGGGAAGAGCCCGACCCUGCCGGUGAGCAGGGACAUGCCCCGCAGCCAGCCGUCCUGCUCCGUGCCGAGCACACGUAGCCCCUCUCCCCUGCGCAGCUGCAGCUCGGCGGGGCCGUGCGCCGCGUACGGGCGCAGCGCCACGCACCUGCGGAGAGCAGCGGGUCAGCCCUGCGCCGCGCAGCGCCCGGCUGCAGCGGGCGGGCAGCUCCUCUCGAGGGCGGUGCCAUCCGCUCCAGGAGUCGAUGAGUUCCAGCACAACGCCACAGCUCUCGGGUGUUAUUUCCAAAACACAAACAACAGCUGGGGGGGUCUGGCCGGUCAGGGGCUGCCCCAGCACUCUCAGAAAGGUUUCUCUCCCUGUUUUUCAGCACAAGCUUCUGGAGGUUUGGCCGGGGGCCGGUCUGAGUGAGGGGCUGUUCCCAGCUGUGCCCUGGCUGCUCAGGAGCACUGUGUGAGCGCUGGCCUGGCUCUGCCUCUGUGCAAAGCACCCAGCUGCUGGGGUGCCCUCACACCACCCUUCUGCAAAUUAUUGUAAUGUCUGGGGAGCUCUCUUGUCUUUUGGAUUCGUGCUGGAGUCUCGGCUGGAUGAUGGUGUGGUGAGGGUGCUACUCCUGGGCACAGCAUUCCCACAGCCUGGCUCUGCACCAGGGGGGCUCAGCGCUGCGCAAGCAGCAUGUUGGGAUGCUGUUAUAAUUUUAGAUGCUUUACCAAAGUGCCAGGGUGGUGAACCUUUCCUUGAUAUAAUCAUCAUAGAGCGUUAUCUGCAAAUUUUAACUCUGUGAAAGUUUUCAAAAACCGGAUUGCUCAAAACACCGGUGGCUAUGAAGGUUUCAGGAUAAAUAACUAGAGGCACUUAAGGAGUAAUUAGUUUCUUUGCAAUUAAAAACAUUUAAAAUGCAUUGCUGACAAACAGGCAGAGCUGUUUCUCCCCAGGUUCUGCAGGGAGGCAGAAGGAUGCACUCAGCUGUGGCACCAGGUCUCUGCCACCCCCUGCUCAGAGCAGCCAGUCCAUCCCAGCACGGAUCUGCAUUCAGACCCAAGGAGAGGCUGCAGGAAAUCCCAGCCCACCCCCAAAGCACCCCAGUAUCUCACGUACAGGUAAGCUGGCCCCUGCUGCUGCAGGUGGGGCAGGGUGACGAUGGCAGCCGGGGGCCCCAGGGCUCCUGCUGAGGGGUGGGAAGAGGCGCUGACCUACGGGAGAAGGGAAGCAGAGAAAACAAAGCAUUAAUCUGCUUAUCAGCUUCUUUCAGCCCCUGCAGGAGCAGCUAACAUUGGACUGGCUUCACCCACCCUUCAAAAAUUACCAAUGGCACUUCAGGAAAUAGAAGAGUCUGGAGCAUUUGAGUUUAAAAAAGAGCAGGCAGCAAGAGGAAGACUCAGAAUCAGAGAAUCCUUUAGGCUGGAAAAGCCUCCAGGGUCACCGAGGUGACAGAUCCCCCUGUCCUUUCCCCACUGUCACUUUGCACUGCAGGUGCAACCAGGCACUGGGAUGUCCACUGUGUGUCCUGGAGGGGCUCCCUGGGGUUCCAGGGAGGAGCUGAAGCCCUGUCCUGCUGCUGAGGGAGCUGAGCCUGUGCUGAGCCUGUGCUGUGUCUGAGUCUGUGCUGUGUCUGUGUCUGUGCUGUGUCUGUGUCCCCCCCCCCCCCCCCCCCCCCCCCCCCCCCCCCCCCCCCCCCCCCCCCCCCCCCCCCC